AUUGAACGCUGGCGGCAGGCCUAACACAUGCAAGUCGAACGGUAGCACAGAGGAGCUUGCUCCUUGGGUGACGAGUGGCGGACGGGUGAGUAAUGUCUGGGAAACUGCCCGAUGGAGGGGGAUAACUACUGGAAACGGUAGCUAAUACCGCAUAACGUCGCAAGACCAAAGAGGGGGACCUUCGGGCCUCUUGCCAUCGGAUGUGCCCAGAUGGGAUUAGCUAGUAGGUGGGGUAACGGCUCACCUAGGCGACGAUCCCUAGCUGGUCUGAGAGGAUGACCAGCCACACUGGAACUGAGACACGGUCCAGACUCCUACGGGAGGCAGCAGUGGGGAAUAUUGCACAAUGGGCGCAAGCCUGAUGCAGCCAUACCGCGUGUAUGAAGAAGGCCUUCGGGUUGUAAAGUACUUUCAGCGAGGAGGAAG
This 426-nucleotide ribosomal RNA is filed under the name uncultured Enterobacterales bacterium. RNAcentral's name for it is "bacterial SSU rRNA". It matches the Rfam family "Bacterial small subunit ribosomal RNA", at positions 30 to 450 of the family's 1533-position model. The record is from RNAcentral. Lineage: Bacteria; Pseudomonadati; Pseudomonadota; Gammaproteobacteria; Enterobacterales.